ACGUAGGGUGCGAGCGUUAAUCGGAAUUACUGGGCGUAAAGAGUGCGCAGGCGGUUGAGUAAGACAGAUGUGAAAUCCCCGAGCUUAACUCGGGAAUGGCAUAUGUGACUGCUCGACUAGAGUGUGUCAGAGGGAGGUGGAAUUCCACGUGUAGCAGUGAAAUGCGUAGAUAUGUGGAAGAACACCGAUGGCGAAGGCAGCCUCCUGGGACAUAACUGACGCUCAGGCACGAAAGCGUGGGGAGCAAACAG
RNAcentral lists this ribosomal RNA (251 nucleotides) under uncultured bacterium. Its description in RNAcentral is "partial 16S ribosomal RNA". It matches the Rfam family "Bacterial small subunit ribosomal RNA", at positions 525 to 775 of the family's 1533-position model. The record is from RNAcentral.